This 119-nucleotide ribosomal RNA is filed under the name Gossypium arboreum. The record is from RNAcentral. Lineage: Eukaryota; Viridiplantae; Streptophyta; Magnoliopsida; Malvales; Malvaceae.
GUGUUAGAUCAUACCAAAGCUAACGCACUAGAUCCCAUCAGAACUCCACAGUUAAGAGUGCUUGGGCGAGAGUUGUACUAUGAUGGGUGACCUCCUAGGAAAUCCUCGUGUUGUACCCC